RNAcentral lists this long non-coding RNA (575 nucleotides) under Oryctolagus cuniculus (rabbit). RNAcentral describes it as "lncRNA (ENSOCUG00000035220.1)". The record is from RNAcentral. Lineage: Eukaryota; Metazoa; Chordata; Mammalia; Lagomorpha; Leporidae.
CGGACAGCGUCUCCAAGCCGGCUGACAAGCCGACUGGGCCGCCCAGGGCCGCCGCCGCCGCCCUUAAUGCUGCGCCGACUGCGCAUGCGUCGGCUGUCCACCGGCAGCUGCGGGCGGUGCCACAGCGCGCUUGCGCGAGCCGGGGCCGCUCCGCCAGCUGCGCAUGCGUCCUCGCGCCGGGAGCGCUGCUGUACGGCCGCCGGGCGAGGCAGGCAGGCUAGUGGACCUGUUGAUACUGGCUCUGCCGAAUUAGCUAAUCUCAACAGUGCUGUGGUCUCCUUUCACCUCCUUCCACUUCACUGGUUUCUGUUAGGUGCCCCAGGGAGAGAAAGGCAGUUUUCCACCUAGGUAAGUGUCCAGUGAAUUGACAACAUUCAUUCAGCGGGUACGUUGGGAGCUGCAAGGGUCAGCCUGGUGUUGACCUUCACCUUAGGGAAACAUAUGACUCCCCCCCCCCCAAAUUACAUGGAAUCUCGUGGGAAAGACAAAAUGCAGCUACGAUAAGCAUACAUUGUUUAAUGUUGUUCAGGCUAAUUUUUUACCUUGGUCAAUAAAGCGUACAACUGCACUGAGCA